Molecule: ribosomal RNA, 440 nt
Filed under: uncultured bacterium
Lineage: Bacteria
Description: partial 16S ribosomal RNA
Rfam family: Bacterial small subunit ribosomal RNA
Source: RNAcentral
GCUACGGGAGGCAGCAGUGGGGAAUAUUGCACAAUGGGGGAAACCCUGAUGCAGCGACGCCGCGUGAGUGAAGAAGUCAUUCGUUAUGUAAAGCUCUAUCAGCAGGGAAGAAAAUGACGGUAUCUGAGUAAGAAGCCCCGGCUAACUACGUGCCAGCAGCCGCGGUACUACAUGGGUGGCACGCGUUCGCCGGAUUUACUGGGGGUAAAGGGAGCGUAGACGGCGGUGCAAGUCUGGAGUGAAAGGCGGGGGCUCAACCCCCGGACUGCUCUUGAAACUGUGCGGCUGGAGUGCAGGAGAGGCAAGCGGAAUUCCUAGUGUAGCGGUGAAAUGCGUAGAUAUUAGGAGGAACACCAGUGGCGAAGGCGGUUUACUGGACUGUAACUGACGGUGAGGCUCGAAAGCGUGGGGAGCAAACAGGAUUAGAUACCCCGGUAGUC